This 70-nucleotide transfer RNA is filed under the name Dipodomys ordii (Ord's kangaroo rat). It matches the Rfam family "tRNA". From Rfam's summary of the family: Transfer RNA (tRNA) molecules are approximately 80 nucleotides in length. Their secondary structure includes four short double-helical elements and three loops (D, anti-codon, and T loops). Further hydrogen bonds mediate the characteristic L-shaped molecular structure. tRNAs have two regions of fundamental functional importance: the anti-codon, which is responsible for specific mRNA codon recognition, and the 3' end, to which the tRNAs corresponding amino acid is attached (by aminoacyl-tRNA synthetases). tRNAs cope with the degeneracy of the genetic code in two manners: having more than one tRNA (with a specific anti-codon) for a particular amino acid; and 'wobble' base-pairing, i.e. permitting non-standard base-pairing at the 3rd anti-codon position. The record is from Rfam by way of RNAcentral. Lineage: Eukaryota; Metazoa; Chordata; Mammalia; Rodentia; Heteromyidae.
GGGAAUGUGGCUUAGUGGUAGAGUGCUUGCCUAGCAUGCAUGAAGCCUUGGAUUCAAUUCCUCAGUACCA